Long non-coding RNA from Lontra canadensis (Northern American river otter), 442 nucleotides. RefSeq lists it as uncharacterized. The record is from RefSeq and is a predicted model, not a curated record. NCBI's taxonomy places the organism in Eukaryota, Metazoa, Chordata, Mammalia, Carnivora, Mustelidae. The transcript has 3 exons.
AGAGGGCUUCAUGCGAUGCUAUGUGCAUCUGCUGUGCUGGCGACUGGAAGAGUUGUAUCUGGCUCUGCUGGCUCUUCAAAGAGAGAAGUGGAUAUGGAGCAAUUCAUCCUGGGCACCAACUUGUGGGGCAGAUGGUAGCAUGCUCCCACAUCAGGCUAAUUCUUGGCUACUCCUCAGCUACUCCUUCAAACACAGAAAAGAAAUACUGGUAAGAGGCGAAGCUUUCAGCUGGAACUCUUUACAGCUCCCUCAGGACAUCGGAGUGUAAAACAGAAGAGAGAGACACAUAACUCACCAGUGUCAGAGGGAAUUGUUCCACAUGUAGCUGUAGAUUUGAUGUGCACAGGAGGAAGUGAACUCAGUUUCUUUUUACACCACCAUUUUGGACGGACUCUCCCUACCAUGCCCUUGAUUUUCCUAUUCUCUCUACUUGAAAUGCCUC